Mauremys reevesii (Reeves's turtle) is the source of this 517-nucleotide long non-coding RNA. RefSeq lists it as uncharacterized. The record is from RefSeq and is a predicted model, not a curated record. NCBI's taxonomy places the organism in Eukaryota, Metazoa, Chordata, Testudines, Geoemydidae. The transcript has 4 exons.
CUCUGGUCUUGACAUUGCAUCUUGAUGGAGGAUGUAGGAGCCAUACCACUUCGAAGUAAGGUCCUGCCGUAGUGUCAUGGCACAGUUCUUCAGCUGGAUACAGUCAUCCCCUUCCCAUCCUCUACUCGACUCAUGUGUGGUAUUGCUGUGCACUUUCCAGAUAAGAAGCAGCUGCAUUUCAGAGGAGGCCAGAAUAGAUGAUCUCUGUGGUCCCCUCUGGCCUUAAACAUCUAUGAAGAGCCUUCCUUUAACAGUCAGCCUUAAAAGUGAUUGGAAGGCCACCAUGAAAAGUACCAUGGCAAUGGGUGCUGUCGACACACUUAAGAUAAAUGUAAAGCCCGGCCCAGCUAUGAGGAUAGAUCAGUCAACUUAAAUCUCUCCCUGUGUAGAAAGGUGGCACAGCAUGACAAGGGCUGCCAAGCUCAUCCAAGAAGGAAUGGAGCACCAAGCACAAAUCGGAUUGGACGUGAACUACCUGUUCUGGAAAGAAUGGCCAGGGAUGGAAACAAUGUGAGAC